This is a non-coding RNA of Rattus norvegicus (Norway rat), 2374 nucleotides long. Lineage: Eukaryota; Metazoa; Chordata; Mammalia; Rodentia; Muridae. The record is from RefSeq and is a predicted model, not a curated record.
AGCAGAGCCAAACACAUACCCCUGACCAAGCAGCGAGACAUGUGCCAGAGCAAAGCCUGAACUUUGGCUCCCCGCCACUAGAGGUCUUCAUGGGCAGCCAUCAGCCUCACCUGCUGCAAAGGCCACGGGAAGAAAGAGGAGGUCCCAGACAUGGCAGAUCACUUUGUCUGCUAUUUGGAUAGUGAUAGCUGCUUCUUUCCGGUCCCCGUUUGCUUAGAGUACAUCUUCCUUAUUACUUCACUUUACGAUGCACAGAAGCAGCCUAUCCUUGAAGGUAAGAUGGGGUUUUGUUUGUUGGGCUUUUUCAGUUUUGUUUUGUUUUGUUUUUGUAGACAAAAGACAUGGAUUUUAUUUCUUAAUCCAUUCAACUAACCUGUAUCUUUUAAUUGAGGGUUUGAGGUUAUUAGUACUUAAUGUUAUUAUCAAAAGGGCUGUCGAUUGGUGCUGUGUAUGUGUGUGUGUGUGUGUGUGUGCCUGUGAGUGUGUGCGUGUGUGUGUGUUUGUGUAUGUGUGUGUAUGUGUGUGUGUGUGCGUGCAUGUGUGUGUAUGUAUGUGUGUGUUUGUGUGUAUGUGUGUGUGUGUUUGUGCAUGUGUGUGUAUGUAUGUGUGUGUAUGUGUGUGUUUGUGUGUAUGUGUGUGUGUGUUUGUGUAUGUGUGUGUAUGUGUGUGUGCGUGUAUGUGUGUGUGUGCGUGUGUGUAUGUGUGUAUAUGUGUGUGUGUAUUUGUGUGUGUGUGCAUGUGCCUGUGUGCGUGUGCAUGUGUGUGCGUGUGUGUAUGUAUGUUCUUAUGCCUACACUGUGCUUUAGCCAUCACAGCUUUCACUGGUUUCUUCCUACAGUCUGUUGGCUGUGCUUGCUCAUUUCUUCUGUCCAAAGUAUUGCUUCCAGUAUUCUCUGGAGGGCUGGUUUGGCGGACAUAAAAUCCUUAGGACAUUUAUAUCAUGAAAUGAUUUUCUUUCUCCUUCAACCAAGGCAGAAAGUUUUGCUGGACACUGUAGUCUAGGUUGCUGUACGUGGCCCUUUAGAACUUGAAGUGCAUUGCCCCAGGCCUCCCAGUCGUUUACUGUUUCAAUUGCUUUAGCGGUCACUAUUCUCGUGGGUUUUCCUUUACGUGUGACCUGCGGUUUUUCUCUUGUUUCUUUCAAAAUUCUUUCUUUGGGCUUUGUAGCUAAUAUUUAAACUAUAAUAUGUCAUGGAGAAUUGUUUUCUGGUCCUGUGUAUUUGAUGUUCUGUAUGUUUCUUGUAUCUACAUGAGUGUGCCGUUAUUUAAUUUGGGGGAGUUGUAUUUUUGAUCUUGUUAAAGAUCUGGUCUGUGCCAUUGACCUAUAAUUUUUUUCCUUAUUAUAUGCCUAUAAUAAAAAAUAUUUUUGUGGUGUUCUACAGGUCUUGCAUGUUUUAUACAUGUUUAAUUUUUUUCAUGAUCUUUGCUUCAGUUGUCUAAUUCUUCCAUUUUCUUCCCACAAAUCCUGACACUCUAUCUUUUACAUUAGCCAUUCUAUUUAUGAAGCUUUUCCAGAGUUCUACAAUUGGGUUAUUGAGUUUUUCAAUUUCAUCUUAAUUUCCCCUUGGGUUCUAGUCAAUAUUUCUAUCUCUUUACUGAAUUCAGUUUUCAUAUUCUGAGCUGUCUUCAUUUCAUUCAACUCCAUGUUUGUGUUUUCUUGGACCUGACUCAGACAUUUGUUACUUUCCUCUUUAAAUUCACUUAGCUGCUUGUCCGUGACUUCUUACACACCUUAAAUUCUUUGAUGAACUUUAUGAUUGUUCUUUUGAUUUAUUUGUCCUGAGGUUCAUCUAUGUAAAGGUCAUCAGUGGACAUUUCUAUAAGACCACUGGGUUUGAGGAAGGAUGUACUGUUUUGGUCUUUCAUACAAGUUCGUGUUUUUGUGAUGUGACCUAUGUGUCUAUGUCAUAUGGUAUUUUAGCCUGCCUUGGGGAGGGUUCAUGUGGGAGCCCUGUGAACAGGACUAGGUCUCCCAGUAGUUUUUUUUUUUUCUUUUUUUUCUUUUUCUUUUUUCUUUUUUCGGAGCUGGGGACCGAACCCAGGGCAAGCGCUCUACCACUGAGCUAAAUCCCCAACCCUCUCCCAGUAGUUUUUAAAAAGGUAUGCUCUAGCCUUAUAUCCAAAAUAUACAAAGAACUCAAGAAGUUAGACCACAGGGAGACAAAUAACCCUAUUAAAAAAUGGGGUUCAGAGCUAAACAAACAAUUCACAGCUGAGGAAUGCCGAAUGGCUGAGAAACACCUAAAGAAAUGUUCAACAUCUUUAGUCAUGAGGGAAAUGCAAAUCAAAACAACCCUGAGAUUUCACCUCACACCAGUGAGAAUGGAUAAGAUCAAAAACUCACGUGACAGCAAAUGCUGGCGAGGAUGCGGAG